Molecule: long non-coding RNA, 1447 nt
Organism: Ipomoea triloba (trilobed morning glory)
Lineage: Eukaryota; Viridiplantae; Streptophyta; Magnoliopsida; Solanales; Convolvulaceae
Exons: 2
Source: RefSeq, a predicted model, not a curated record
CCGUUUCAUUUAUCUGUUCUCAUUAAUCAAAACCACAUCAUUUUGUCACAUGGUCCAAAGCGGUGAACGAUAAAAUUUGCGAGUUGCAAGCAUAAGCAUAACUUACCUGUAAUAAAUUGUAAAAUCCGUCAACCCGGGCGUUUAAUUCGUAACUUCUCUUACCCUCUCUCCCUCGAUUCAAUUCAAAAUCUUUUUACUUCCAAAAAGGUUUUUCCAAUCCUCUUUCUACUCUGUAUCUCGAUCAUUGUGCUUCAAUUCCUCACCAACUUUCUCGUUUAAUCAUAUCACACACGCGAUUGGAAACUCGAUGUUUGUUUGUGCAGCGGUUGGGAUGAUUACGUUUUUGUCGGGCAAAGAUGGUAAUACACGACGAAUUGGUUGAGAAAGGUGAGGGGGAGGUUUCGCAGGCGAAAAGCAUGUGCCGGCGGCGGCGGAGGCGGUUGCUUAAAGGUGCCGCGGACUCGGGAUUCUGGAGGUGAGUCACAGACAAGUGAUCCUAAUAGCCCUAAUUUCAGUAGUGAGAUGCUAAGAAUCUUGAUUGAGAAGAAUGACUUUUAUUCCAAAGAAUCCAAUCCUCAUUUGGAUAAUAAAUAUGCGGCGCCUUCUUGCCCUCAUCGCAUAUCAGAAUGAAUUAGAGGAAGUGCAAUCCAAGUUGUGGAAAUGUUAUGAAAUUAAAAUCUUCUCUGAUCAUGCAUAUACAUACAUACAUACAUACAUGUUGUAAUGGUGAGAUUGGGGCUCUCAUUUUUUUUAGUAGAGAUAGUGACCAAAUUCCCAUUAUCUUAGAGUGAUUCAAUGGUGAAAGAGGCUAGAGAUUACAUAUAAUAGUGUGAUGCUGCAAAUACUUUUUUUUUUUUUUUGAAAGAAAGAAGUUAUGCUGCAAAUACUUAGAAGCCUACUUUCAUGUUUUCAAAUGUGAAGUUAGAGGAUGAUAGCACAAAAUGUUUGUGAAUGGCAAUUGCCAAUCUUUGGUUUGUAAAUUCUCUUCAAUAUCUGGAUGAGUGGCAAGAAAUGUUGUUGAAAUUGCAAAUGCCCCACGCAAAUGAUAUCAGAUGGGCUGCAACAAAUAUUUUCAGACUCCACUUCCCCUGGACAGGCUUACUUGACCACCCAAUUGGAUGAAUCAUGAAUCAUGAAUGUGAACAGUUUUGCAGGGUCAAGCUAAGUCCGUUAUUUUUCCUCCCAAAAGGUCGGAUCUCAACCCCAAGGCCCUCCAUGUCCCGGCCCGACAAAGGCAAGCUAAUUCCAUUAUUAAUAUGCUCAUGGGAUGAGUCUAAAUAGGUUUAUAAACCUUACUGAAUGAGACUCAAUAAAGAAAAAAAAAAAGUUUUUGACAUUCAGUGUAGCUUUAAAAAAAGUUUUUGAGAUUCAGUGUAGUUUAUGUAAAGAAUAAAGAAUUGAUGGCACAAAAAUUUUGACAAGUGAUAGAAAUAUAUUAUAUACCUCA